AAUUGCCCUGUAAAUCAUCUUUUAUUGCGUCCACAAAAGAGGAAACAGAACAAAUUUUCAAGUGUUAUUACAAGCAGACAUGCAAUUUCAUUAACCAAAGGAAAAACAAAAACGUUUCAUAACCAUAAUACAAUAUUGAAUAAUUAAAUUACAUAAAAGCUUCAGUUGGAUCUCCCCGAAACAAAACCUUUUAGGGCUAAACUCUAACUUCAUAUGUUUGCCCUACAAAGAGCCAACAAUUAAUUACAGGCAGCUAGAGUUACUGGUGCAUCAGCACUUGAUGCUUCAAGCCUGCAAAUUAUGGGCGACGCCGAACAAAUAUAAGAUGGGUGUUGCAUUAAAAAGUUGAAAGUAAACAAACCCUCGCUCAAAGAGGAUAAAUUAUAAAAUUAAAUGAAUUUGGUACCAGAUCUCACUUGCAAUAAGGCAUUCUAGGAUUAUAAGAACUAAACUGAUGAAUCCAAAUAUACUAGAACAGAGGUGGAUCAAAAGCCAGGAAGCUAGAUAGAACUGUCUGGAACAGUCGUUCUAAAUAUGUCAUAGAAUCGAUUCCCAUCCUCACCAAGGCUUUUGAGGAGUGAGUAAAUUGACAAGAGAGCAAAAUAUGGUAAGG
Molecule: long non-coding RNA, 613 nt
Filed under: Citrus x clementina
Lineage: Eukaryota; Viridiplantae; Streptophyta; Magnoliopsida; Sapindales; Rutaceae
Description: Citrus clementina (C. clementina) long non-coding RNA (CCLE_LNC006432)
Source: RNAcentral